GGGGCAGUAGCUCAGUGGUUAGAGCUGCGGACUCAUAAUCCGUAGGUCGUAGGUUCAAGUCCUACCUGCCCCA
This 73-nucleotide transfer RNA is filed under the name Chlamydiales bacterium. RNAcentral's name for it is "tRNA-Ile". It matches the Rfam family "tRNA". From Rfam's summary of the family: Transfer RNA (tRNA) molecules are approximately 80 nucleotides in length. RNAcentral also lists the same sequence under 2 other names. The record is from RNAcentral. Lineage: Bacteria; Pseudomonadati; Chlamydiota; Chlamydiia; Chlamydiales.